Molecule: long non-coding RNA, 1024 nt
Filed under: Mytilus galloprovincialis (Mediterranean mussel)
Lineage: Eukaryota; Metazoa; Mollusca; Bivalvia; Mytilida; Mytilidae
Source: RNAcentral
GUCCGGUUUGCUAUAAAUCUAACUUCAAACGUAAAAUAUCGUACUGAUUACUUUGAACGAAAUCAAAUCUGAUAAAUGAAGGCGGUGAUUAAUUUUCUUUACCAUAACACAUAAAUAUAAUAGAAAAGACGUCAACACAUUUGACAAAAUCCGAUGAGAAUUACAAAUAUAACAUUAAACAUUUAAACUAAAUACAUGAAUUUGGGAUGGAUAAGUACCGUACCACGUCUUAUAGUAAUGCGAGUGCACACUCGGCAAAACAGUCACAAUCGGGGAAUAAGUCACGUUUGGUAAUUAAAAGAUUAGACGACAUUAUGACAAAACACAAUCUACCAUGUGGUAAAAAUGUCCUUAGCAAGUUUGGUCAACGAAACAUCGUAUGGAUCCACCAAAUCGUGAUGGUGUCCAUAAAAUUUACGGAGUGUCAAUUUUAAUCUGUCCUCCUCAUAACUUUGUUGGAGCAGUUUCUGCGUAAGGAGCACACUCCUGUAUAUGAAGUCCGUAUAGUGUGAACAAGCACGAGAAUAACGUAUCAAUUGUGAUAUGUAAACACCAUACGAAGGGCAGAGGGUAUGUUACUGCUGAGAAAUGGGAAAUUGAUAAUUGGGAAGUUGAAAUCGUCCCGUUUAUCAUAGAUUUUGGUGUGAAGUCGUCCAUCUACGUCAAUAUUGAGGAAAAGAUCAAGGUAUGAAGCAGUCCUUCUAGUAUCAGUGGUAUCCUUAAUUUCAAGUUCACUUGGAUAUAUGAGAUGUAAGUAUUGGCUGAAAUAUGGGUUAUUCAAUGAUAGAACAUCAUCAAUAUAUCGGAAAGUAAAAUUAAAGAAUUUCGCAAGGUGCUUUUUCUUUUUGUCUUUUAGAAGGUUCUGAAUGAAUUCUGCUUCAUACGAGUACAAAAACAAAUCAGCCAGCAGGGGUGCACAAUUAGUACCCAUUGGAAUACCGACUGUCAUUUGAAAUAUAAAUCCUCCAAACUCAACAAAUAUAUUGUCGAUCAAAAAGUCCAGCAUUUUGAUAAUAUCAUCUUC